GAUAAAACGCUGGUCGGCGCCACGAGUAAGACAUGCGAAGUCGAACGGACUUAAUCGAAAUAGUUUAUAGUUUUGAAAGGCGGUUAGUGGCGGACUGGUGAGUAACGCGUAAGGAACCUACCUAUUAGAGGGGAAUAACAGUGAGAAAUCAUUGCUAAUACCGCAUAUGCCAUAGAUAUCACAUGAUAACAGUGGGAAAGGAGCAAUCCGCUAAUAGAUGGCCUUGCGUCUGAUUAGAUAGUUGGUGGGGUAACAGCCUACCAAGUCGACGAUCAGUAGCCGGACUGAGAGGUUGAACGGCCACAUUGGGACUGAGAUACGGCCCAG
This 327-nucleotide ribosomal RNA is filed under the name uncultured bacterium. Its description in RNAcentral is "bacterial SSU rRNA". It matches the Rfam family "Bacterial small subunit ribosomal RNA", at positions 35 to 334 of the family's 1533-position model. The record is from RNAcentral.